AGAGUUUGAUUAUGGCUCAGGAUGAACGGCUAGCUACAGGCUUAACACAUGCAAGUCGAGGGGCAGCAUUGGAGUAGCAAUACUCAGAUGGCGACCGGCGCACGGGUGAGUAACACGUAUCCAACCUGCCGCUUACUCGGGGAUAGCCUUUCGAAAGAAAGAUUAAUACCCGAUGGUAUAAAGAGUUCGCAUGUUCUCUUUAUUAAAGAAUUUCGGUAAGCGAUGGGGAUGCGUUCCAUUAGAUAGUUGGCGGGGUAACGGCCCACCAAGUCUACGACUGGAUAGGGGUUCUGAGAGGAAGGUCCCCCACAUUGGAACUGAGACACGGUCCAAACUCCUACGGGAGGCAGCAGGUGAGGAAUAUUGGUCAAUGGACGAGAGUCUGAACCAGCCAAAAGUAGCGUGAAGGAUGACUGCCCUAUGGGUUGUAAACUUCUUUUAUAAGGGAAUAAAGUGAGGGACGUGUCCCUUUUUGUAUGUACCUUAUGAAUAAGGAUCGGCUAACUCCGUGCCAGCCGCGGC
This 522-nucleotide ribosomal RNA is filed under the name uncultured bacterium. RNAcentral's name for it is "bacterial SSU rRNA". It matches the Rfam family "Bacterial small subunit ribosomal RNA", at positions 8 to 518 of the family's 1533-position model. The record is from RNAcentral.